Molecule: RNA transcript, 2414 nt
Organism: Ananas comosus (pineapple)
Lineage: Eukaryota; Viridiplantae; Streptophyta; Magnoliopsida; Poales; Bromeliaceae
Gene name: meiosis-specific protein PAIR2
Exons: 24
Source: RefSeq, a predicted model, not a curated record
AUACCUCCCCCUUCGUCCCGCCGAUUCCCCCCACUCUGCCAUUUCAAAUCUCCUCUCCUUCAUCUUCAGCUUCACUCGUGCUUCACCUCUCUCCUUCUCCACAAUGGUCGUUGCUCAGAGAACGAAGGAAGCAGAGAUCACAGAGCAGGAUUCUUUGCUCCUGACGAGGAAUCUGCUCCGGAUUGCCAUCUUCAACAUCAGCUACAUCCGAGGCCUCUUUCCCGAGAAGUACUUCAACGACAAGUCGGUUCCUGCCCUAGAGAUGAAGAUUAAGAAGCUGUUGCCCAUGGAUGCCGAGUCUCGGAGGCUCAUCGAUUGGAUGGAGAAAGGCGUCUAUGAUGCACUACAGAAGAAGUAUCUGAAGACGCUUCUCUUCUGUAUCUGUGAGGAUGUAGAGGGUCCGAUGAUUGAGGAGUACGCAUUUUCCUUUACCUAUGCUAAUUCUAACAAUGAGGAGGUAUCCAUGAAUGUAUCUCGUAGUGGAAACAAAAAGAAUGGUGCGAUAUUUAAAUCUAAUACAACAGAUAUUACCCCUGACCAAAUGAGGAGCUCUGCUUGCAAGAUGAUCCGUACCCUGGUUUCACUAAUGAGGACUCUGGACCAAAUGCCAGAGGAGCGAAUCAUUAUAAUGAAGCUCCUCUACUAUGAUGAUGUCACGCCUGAGGAUUAUGAGCCUCCAUUUUUCAGAUGCUGCGCAGAGAAUGAGGCCAUUAAUUCAUGGACCAAAAACCCAUUAAAAAUGGAAAUUGGAAAUGUGAAUAGCAAACACCUCGUAUUAACUCUGAAGGUGAAAAGUGUUCUUGAUCCAUGCGAGGACGAGAAUGGCGACGUUCCUGAAGAUGAGGAGAUGAGCUUGGGUGAUGAUUCUAAUCAGGAGGAUGACUCUUCUUCAGACGGUGAGGUCCACCCUUCUCAUGCAGACCAGUACAUGGUUGCGCCCAUUGGUGAAAAACGUCUGUGCGAAGAUACUGGCAUGGUUUCUGAAGAUGAGACUCAAGAUGCAGCUCACGAGGAAACUCAGACGGCUCGAGUGAGAGAUUGGAUAAGUUCCAGACACAUCAACAGUGUUGAUCUCUCAGAUGUUCUAUCAAACUUCCCUGACAUAUCAGUUGCUUUGACUGAAGAUAUUAUGGAGAGGCUGCUGAAAGAAGGGCUCUUAUCCAGAGCUACGAAGGAUAGUUACACUAUUAACAAGGAAGUCAACUCCAAUCCAUCCGUCGUAAAGGAGGAGGCUGAGAUGCAGGAGAUUCCACAAGCUGAGGAAACUACCAAGAUGUCUAAUGAGGAUUUCAUGUACAUGAAGGCUCUUUAUCUUGCUUUACCAAUGGAUUAUGUGACUGUAGCGAAGCUUCAAAGCAAGUUAGACGGGGAAGCUAAUCAGAGCACUGUGAGGAAGCUAAUUGACAAAAUGGUGCAGGAUGGGUAUAUUAAGAGCUCGGGAAGCAAAAAACUUGGUAAGCGCGUCAUCCAUUGUGAGUCAAGCAACAAAAAGCUCCUUGAAGUCAAAAGGAUAUUGGAAAGCAAGCUCAUGGACAUUGAUACCAACGAACAACCAUUCAAAUGUGAGGGUGUGGACGCGCCUUCAAAAGACAAAAAUAUGAUCGACGGAUCCACAUUGGGUGUCCUCCAUUCCAUCGGAUCUGAUCUCACACGCACCCGAGAGCGACCCGAGCCAUACCAAAAUGGAUCUAUGCUAAGCGGGCAGGGAGCUCAAGCAAAGGGUCAGGAUCAUAGUAGAACUCCAACAAGCAUGCACGAGCCAAUUGCUUCUCUAGAGAGUGGAGUGAUGGGAGAGAGAGUCCGAGGAAGGCCUUUCCCCGGUGAUGAUGUUUGCCGUUCUUCUCAAGACAAGCGAUCAAGGAAGGCUAGCACCGUUAAGGAACCCAUACUUCAAUAUCUAAAGCGACAAAAAGCUCAAGCUUAGAAAGAGAAUACAAGUUGAACUAAGAUUUUUGAAUGGCCAAUUCACAAUGCAAACUCUUGAAGUCGAGACCAUAGUGUCCAGAUUGUGUAUUCAAGAUAACGAAGGUAAAUCGCAAUCACGCCCCUUCGAUCACGCGCCCGUGGAUCGCGCUCCGACAAAGGAAUCAUCUGCGGUACAUGAUCUCACAGUGUCCAUCACCCAGCAAUUCGUUGGGACCACGGGUGAUAGCAAAUGAAAUGUACGUAUGUCUCUCCACCCCUCCUUAGCCUUUCAACGAGCCUGUUUGGUCUUUUACUAGAGCUUGUUCUGAAUUACUAUUUGAGUAGAACAUUUUAAUUGAAUAUUAAGGAUGUGUGUUAGUAUAUUUUAGCUCGGAAAUAGUGAAUAUAUCUUAAAAAUUUUGGUUCUUGCGUUAACGGUCAAAUCUACUCUAACUGACAAUAUCUAGUGCAGUUAAUUAAAAAUUUAAUAAUUGAUAUUCGAGAUCUAA